CUGAGUACGGCGGAACACGUGAAAUUCCGUCGGAAUCCGGGAGGACCAUCUCCCAAGGCUAAAUACUCCCUAGUGACCGAUAGUGAACCAGUACCGUGAGGGAAAGGUGAAAAGCACCCCGGAAGGGGAGUGAAACAGUUCCUGAAACCGUGUGCCUACAAGUAGUUAGAGCCCGUUAAUGGGUGAUAGCGUGCCUUUUGUAGAAUGAACCGGCGAGUUACGAUUUGUUGCAAGGUUAAGCGGAAAAAGCGGAGCCGUAGCGAAAGCGAGUCUGAAUAGGGCGCAUAAGUAACAGGUCGUAGACCCGAAACCAGGUGAUCUACCCAUGUCCAGGAUGAAGGUAAGGUAAUACUUACUGGAGGUCCGAACCCACGCACGUUGAAAAGUGCGGGGAUGAGGUGUGGGUAGCGGAGAAAUUCCAAUCGAACUUGGAGAUAGCUGGUUCUCUCCGAAAUAGCUUUAGGGCUAGCCUCGAGGUAAAGAGUCAUGGAGGUAGAGCACUGUUUGGACUAGGGGCCCUUCUCGGGUUACCGAAUUCAGAUAAACUCCGAAUGCCAUGUACUUAUACUCGGGAGUCAGACUGCGAGUGAUAAGAUCCGUAGUCGAAAGGGAAACAGCCCAGACCACCAGUUAAGGUCCCCAAAUAUAUGUUAAGUGGAAAAGGAUGUGGGGUUGCUUAGACAACCAGGAUGUUGGCUUAGAAGCAGCCACCAUUGAAAGAGUGCGUAAUAGCUCACUGGUCGAGUGACCCCGCGCCGAAAAUGUACCGGGGCUAAACAUAUUACCGAAACUGUGGAUGAACCUCUUUAGAGGUUCGUGGUAGGAGAGCGUUCUAAGGGCGGUGAAGUCAGACCGGAAGGACUGGUGGAGCGCUUAGAAGUGAGAAUGCCGGUAUGAGUAGCGAAAGAAGGGUGAGAAUCCCUUCCACCGAAUAUCUAAGGUUUCCUGAGGAAGGCUCGUCCGCUCAGGGUUAGUCGGGACCUAAGCCGAGGCCGAUAGGCGUAGGCGAUGGACAACAGGUAGAGAUUCCUGUACCAGUGCUAAUUGUUUAACCGAUGGGGUGACACAGAAGGAUAGGGAAUCGCACGAAUGGAAAUGUGCGUCCAAGCAGUGAGUGUGAGAAGUAGGCAAAUCCGCUUCUCGCGAAGCAUGAGCUGUGAUGGGGAAGGAAAUUAAGUACGGAAGUUCCUGAUUUCACGCUGUCAAGAAAAGCCUCUAGGAAGAGUAGUACUGCCCGUACCGCAAACCGACACAGGUAGAUGAGGAGAGAAUCCUAAGGUGAGCGAGAGAACUCUCGUUAAGGAACUCGGCAAAAUGACCCCGUAACUUCGGGAGAAGGGGUGCUCUAUUAGGGUGCAAGCCCGAGAGAGCCGCAGUGAAUAGGCCCAGGCGACUGUUUAGCAAAAACACAGGUCUCUGCAAAACCGUAAGGUGACGUAUAGGGGCUGACGCCUGCCCGGUGCUGGAAGGUUAAGAGGAGUGCUUAGCUUCGGCGAAGGUACGAAUUGAAGCCCCAGUAAACGGCGGCCGUAACUAUAACGGUCCUAAGGUAGCGAAAUUCCUUGUCGGGUAAGUUCCGACCCGCACGAAAGGCGCAACGAUCUGGGCACUGUCUCAACGAGAGACUCGGUGAAAUUAUAGUACCUGUGAAGAUGCAGGUUACCCGCGACAGGACGGAAAGACCCCGUGGAGCUUUACUGCAACCUGAUAUGGAAUGUUUGUACCGCUUGUACAGGAUAGGUAGGAGCCGAAGAGACGUGUGCGCUAGCAUACGAGGAGGCAAUGGUGGGAUACUACCCUGGCUGUAUGACCAUUCUAACCCGCCACGCUUAGCGCGUGGGGAGACAGUGUCAGGUGGGCAGUUUGACUGGGGCGGUCGCCUCCUAAAGAGUAACGGAGGCGCCCAAAGGUUCCCUCAGAAUGGAUGGAAAUCAUUCGCAGAGUGUAAAGGCACAAGGGAGCUUGACUGCGAGACUGACAAGUCGAGCAGGGACGAAAGUCGGGCUUAGUGAUCCGGUGGUUCCGCAUGGAAGGGCCAUCGCUCAACGGAUAAAAGCUACCCCGGGGAUAACAGGCUUAUCUCCCCCAAGAGUCCACAUCGACGGGGAGGUUUGGCACCUCGAUGUCGGCUCGUCGCAUCCUGGGGCUGUAGUCGGUCCCAAGGGUUGGGCUGUUCGCC
This 2179-nucleotide ribosomal RNA is filed under the name Listeria monocytogenes. Its description in RNAcentral is "partial 23S ribosomal RNA". It matches the Rfam family "Bacterial large subunit ribosomal RNA", at positions 408 to 2585 of the family's 2925-position model. The record is from RNAcentral. Lineage: Bacteria; Bacillati; Bacillota; Bacilli; Caryophanales; Listeriaceae.